UUGGGGCUUGAAACAUGAUUCGCAGCAACCGCCUACUAGGUCUACUACUAAACGCAACUUCAUUGCGCGGUAGGCUGGUGGGCGAAAUCAAGCGUUGAUUCAAGCCAUCAGACAGAAAAAACCCGCGCCACUGCGCGGGUUUUUUU
Molecule: regulatory RNA element, 146 nt
Organism: Buttiauxella agrestis ATCC 33320
Lineage: Bacteria; Pseudomonadati; Pseudomonadota; Gammaproteobacteria; Enterobacterales; Enterobacteriaceae
Rfam family: Leucine operon leader
About the family: At least 6 amino acid operons are known to be regulated by attenuation. In each a leader sequence of 150-200 bp is found upstream of the first gene in the operon.
Source: Rfam